AGUGAACGCUGGCGGUAGGCCUAACACAUGCAAGUCGAACGGCAGCACAGUAAGAGCUUGCUCUUACGGGUGGCGAGUGGCGGACGGGUGAGGAAUACAUCGGAAUCUACUUUUUCGUGGGGGAUAACGUAGGGAAACUUACGCUAAUACCGCAUACGACCUACGGGUGAAAGCAGGGGAUCUUCGGACCUUGCGCGAUUGAAUGAGCCGAUGUCGGAUUAGCUAGUUGGCGGGGUAAAGGCCCACCAAGGCGACGAUCCGUAGCUGGUCUGAGAGGAUGAUCAGCCACACUGGAACUGAGACACGGUCCAGCCUCCUACGGGAGGCAGCAGUGGGGAAUAUUGGACAAUGGGCGCAGGCCUGAUCCAGCCAUACCGCGUGGGUGAAGAAGGCCUUCGGGUUGUAAAGCCCUUUUGUUGGGAAAGAAAAGCAGCAGGUUAAUACCCCGCUGUUCUGACGGUACCCAAAGAAUAAGCACCGGCGAACUUCGU
Molecule: ribosomal RNA, 491 nt
Filed under: uncultured bacterium
Lineage: Bacteria
Description: partial 16S ribosomal RNA
Rfam family: Bacterial small subunit ribosomal RNA
Source: RNAcentral